Unclassified non-coding RNA from Erinaceus europaeus (western European hedgehog), 278 nucleotides. Its record names the gene 7SK. It matches the Rfam family "7SK RNA". Rfam says of the family: 7SK was discovered as an abundant small nuclear RNA in the mid-70s but a possible function has only recently been suggested. Two independent studies have found that 7SK RNA binds the CDK9/cyclin T complex (known as elongation factor P-TEFb). The record is from Ensembl. NCBI's taxonomy places the organism in Eukaryota, Metazoa, Chordata, Mammalia, Eulipotyphla, Erinaceidae.
GGAUGUAAGGGUGAUCUGGCUGCAACAUCUGUCACCCCACUGAUCACCAGGAUUGAUUAGGAUGAUCUGGCUGGCUAGGUGGGUGUCCCCUUCCUCCCUCACCCCUCAGUUGACAACCUUCUCCAAAUAGAGAUGGACUGAUCUUCGGUCAAGGGUAUACAAGUAGCUAUGCUCGCUUUCCUGCUAGAACCUCCAAACAAGCUUUCAAGGCCCAAGAAGAGAGCUAGAAAGUUCUACUCUGGCUUUUUGGGCUCUCUGCUGAGUAGAUAGCUUCACAA